Rhineura floridana is the source of this 2501-nucleotide long non-coding RNA. RefSeq lists it as uncharacterized. NCBI's taxonomy places the organism in Eukaryota, Metazoa, Chordata, Lepidosauria, Squamata, Rhineuridae. The record is from RefSeq and is a predicted model, not a curated record. The transcript is spliced from 3 exons.
GCCCCCUCCUGCUCGCCGGCCGGCCGCCCACCUACCGAGCCGAGCCACACGCUCCAGUACCUCCCCGCUAUCCGGCCCGGCCCAGCCCGCUCCUCAAACUGCUCUCAACAGCGCCCCGCAGCCGGGCGGAACCGAGCCCAGUCCCACGCGGACCCUCCCUCGAACUCCGGACCUCUCGUUCCCGCCUCCCUCGCCCGGGACGGGCAGGAGGAAGCGGUGGCAGGCAAGGCAACGAUGCUGGUGCAGACCUGGCCAGGGCGCCCAGAGAUGGCUGGCUAGAUAGAUGGGCGCGCGGAGUGCCAAGAAAGCGCCGCCCACUCGCUUCUUUUCUCUUGGCCCGGAGCACGUGGCCACGUGCCGUGCUCAGAUGCACCCCCCGAGCGGGGUGGAUCUCCGCCGCCUGAGCUUACUCGGGCGAAGCUUUCUCCGGACUGGAAGGGACUGCGUGCCUCUCGGACGACAGAGGCGGCAGGAAGUCCUCUCCCACUCCUAGAUCUGCUACGCUCCCGGAUGAGCCUUCCCUGUAGCUGCUGGCUGGAGCGCCGGAGCUCCCGGUGGGUGGCGUGAAAGAAGCGAUGUUUUACGCAUCCGUCGUGAGCAGAAGCACAGAUCACCGGCAACUUUUUUAGCGUGCGGUGGGAUCCCCGAGAGCAGCACGGCUUUUGUUUAAUGCUUAAAACUUGUUUAAUGCUUAAAACAUUCUCAGGGCAAGCGAGUCCUGUGUGUGCUUGUAGGAGGGCAACCAAAGUUUCUGCGUACUUUCUCCGCUGUGACGGGGUUUCCGCUUCUGAAACCGACGUAACUUUUCGAACAGCCUACGUUUCUCCGCUGGAUUUGUUUGAAUUAGAUUUUUUUUAUUUCUCUCUGGCAGCGAUUACAGCCUAUCAGAAAAGGUGAAGGACGGCUCUCCCGCUUGCGAGGCUCGCUAACCUACUGCCCACCCACUCCUGAUUCCUUUGGGCCAGUCGAGGCUCUGAGAAUUCCCAGCUUGGUGUUCGGUGUCAAAACAGCACAAUCGUUUGGAAGUAAACUCGGCUGAAAUCUGUGGGCCAACCUUCCUCCUGGAUAAGUUAUCGGUGAGACCGAAGUGCGUCUUCUUCGACCCACUGGAUUAAAAAACUAGUCUCUCGCUACGAGUAGCUCGGUCUGUCCCAUGCACAGCGUUUACUCGGAAGUAAUUUCGAUUGACUGCAGUGGGACCCGUCCCAAUUACCCAUAGCUGGGAGACCUACUUUGAAGUCUACCGAAGUUGCUUGGCUCGGUGACAGGAUAUGUUUUUAAAAAACGAGGCGGUGCGUUUCUGCCCAACGUUAAGGAAUGUUCGCGUCGACGUCUCUGUCGGAUCCGCUCAACUCGCUGAGAUAAUUCUUAGGGGGUGGGCAGGCCUUUUCUGAAAUUGCUCUGAAAUGUCAGAAAAGCCCCAGGCCCAUUUCACACAACACCCCUCUGAUAAGAACCCCACAGCACAAAGAUCCUUGAGAACUGCGAUAUGUCAGGACCACUGGAUCCCUUACCAAGAGCCCAGAAGCCCUGGCAACAGACAAUUCCCAGGGAACCUGCACAGUGAAGCGCCCACUGGCAAGGUCCAUAGCCCCAGCAACCAUCAUUGCAACUACAAUACUGUCCGGGGCUGUAUGUGUUCAUUUAACAUCCACGUCUUCUUUGGUGCUUAUUUUAUAAACUUGAUUAUGUACUUGCUACGAUCACCAUCAACUUCAAGUGGACUGUUGCCUAUGAAAGUUCAUGCAGCCUCUCAGGACACUCUGUAAUAGAUCUUAAAGUGUCAAUCAUGGAACUUCAAAGGGAGACUGCAAACUGAAACUGCUGAAUUAUAGUUCAUCAAGAGGUUCAUUGCUAUCACCUGGGGCUUGAAUCAGACAAAGUUUUUUUAAAUAGCCUGUUUUAGCUUAUCCAUGUCAAGAUAUCAAUAUUAUCGCCAACUGUUAACUGUGAUAACCACUGUUAAUUACAUAACUACCACUGCCUGUACCUUCUGGAUUAAAUUUCCCUCUGACUUAUCCCUGCCAUGUUUAUAUGUGAUGGCAGCUAAGGAUAACAAUUGCAUGUAUCUGAGGAAGUGAACUGUAAUUCAUAAGCUUUUAUCAUAAUGCAUUUGUUAGCCUUUAAGGUGCUAAAAGAUUCCGAUGCCGUAAUUAUAUGGUGGCAACAUGGGAUGAGCCUUUUCUAUAGUGGCAUCUUGUAUGGGAAAUUCCCUCCCUUCUAUCAGGCUCCUUCACUAUUAGGCUUUCCGUUUUGUAAUGCUUUAAAAAGCCACCCCUUCACCCAGUCUUCAGGGCGGACGGGACUAGAGUAGGGCCAGGUAUAACUGAUGUAAUCUAUUUGCUGUAUUUAUUGUUUGGUAUUUUAUUUUGUUUUAAUAUGGGAUGUUGUAUUCUGUUAUUUUAAUGUAAUUGUUGUAAAUCACCCUGUGACCUUAAUUUAUUGAUGAAGGGCAGUUUGGAAACUGAUUAAAUAAAUAACUACAUUUUGCUGUUGUCUUU